RNAcentral lists this ribosomal RNA (500 nucleotides) under uncultured bacterium. Its description in RNAcentral is "partial 16S ribosomal RNA". It matches the Rfam family "Bacterial small subunit ribosomal RNA", at positions 899 to 1397 of the family's 1533-position model. The record is from RNAcentral.
ACUCAAAUGAAUAGACGGGGGCCCGCACAAGCAGUGGAGCAUGUGGUUCAAUUCGAUGCAACGCGAAGAACCUUACCUGGGCUUGAAAGGCCAGCGACCGGCGAUGAAAGUCGCCUUCCCCGCAAGGGGCGCUGGUACAGGUGCUGCAUGGCUGUCGUCAGCUCGUGCCGUGAGGUGUUGGGUUAAGUCCCGCAACGAGCGCAACCCUUACACUUAGUUGCCAGCAGGUAAAGCUGGGCACUCUAAGUGGACUGCCUACGCAAGUAGAGAGGAAGGUGGGGAUGACGUCAAGUCCUCAUGGCCCUUACGCCCAGGGCCACACACGUGCUACAAUGGCCGCAACAAUGGGUUGCCAAACCGCAAGGUGGAGCCAAUCCCAAAAAAGCGGUCUCAGUUCGAAUUGGAGUCUGCAACUCGACUCCAUGAAGCUGGAAUUGCUAGUAAUCGCGCAUCAGCACGGCGCGGUGAAUACGUUCCCGGGCCUUGUACACACCGCCCGU